GACAGAGGGUGCAAACGUUGUUCGGAAUUACUGGGCGUAAAGCGCGUGUAGGCUGCUUGGAAAGUCGGAUGUGAAAGCCCCGGGCUCAACCUGGGAAGUGCAUUCGAAACUUCCGAGCUGGAGUCCUGGAGAGGAAGGCGGAAUUCUCGGUGUAGAGGUGAAAUUCGUAGAUAUCGAGAGGAACACCGGUGGCGAAGGCGGCCUUCUGGAC
This 211-nucleotide ribosomal RNA is filed under the name uncultured bacterium. RNAcentral's name for it is "partial 16S ribosomal RNA". It matches the Rfam family "Bacterial small subunit ribosomal RNA", at positions 524 to 734 of the family's 1533-position model. The record is from RNAcentral.